RNAcentral lists this ribosomal RNA (333 nucleotides) under uncultured eukaryote. Its description in RNAcentral is "partial 18S ribosomal RNA". It matches the Rfam family "Eukaryotic small subunit ribosomal RNA", at positions 1470 to 1796 of the family's 1831-position model. The record is from RNAcentral.
CCCUUAGAUGUCCGGGGCCGCACGCGCGCUACACUGAAGGAAUCAGCGUGGCUUUCUCCCUGACCCGAAAGGGUUGGGAAACCCGUUGAAUCUCCUUCGUGAUAGGGAUUGGGGCUUGAAAUUGUUCCCCAUGAACGAGGAAUUCCCAGUAAGCGCGAGUCAUAAGCUCGCGUUGAUUACGUCCCUGCCCUUUGUACACACCGCCCGUCGCUACUACCGAUUGAACGGUUUAGUGAGGCCUCGGAUUGGUCUCGGCCCGCUCUUUACCGGGCGGCGCCGUUGGUCGAGAAGACGCUCGAACUUGAUCGUUUAGAGGAAGUAAAAGUCGUAACA